RNAcentral lists this ribosomal RNA (253 nucleotides) under uncultured bacterium. RNAcentral describes it as "partial 16S ribosomal RNA". It matches the Rfam family "Bacterial small subunit ribosomal RNA", at positions 524 to 776 of the family's 1533-position model. The record is from RNAcentral.
UACGUAGGUGGCAAGCGUUGUCCGGAUUUAUUGGGUUUAAAGGGCGCGUAGGCGGCUUUGCAAGUGACGGGUGAAAUCCCUCGGCUUAACCGAGGAACUGCCUGUCAAACUGCAUGGCUUGAGACCGGGAGAGGUGAGUGGAAUUCCCAGUGUAGCGGUGAAAUGCGUAGAUAUUGGGAGGAACAUCGGUGGCGAAGGCGGCUACCUGGACGGGUACUGACGCUGAUGCGCGAAAGCUAGGGGAGCAAACAGG